UGGGGAAUAUUGGGCAAUGGGCGAAAGCCUGACCCAGCGACGCCGCGUGAAGGAAGACGGUCUUCGGAUUGUAAACUUCUUUUAUAAGGGACGAAGCAUGACGGUACCUUAUGAAUAAGCCACGGCUAACUACGUGCCAGCAGCCGCGGUAAUACGUAGGUGGCAAGCGUUAUCCGGAUUUACUGGGUGUAAAGGGUGUGUAGGCGGGAUUGCAAGUCAGAUGUGAAAACUAUGGGCUCAACUCAUAGCCUGCAUUUGAAACUGUGAUUCUUGAGGGUCGGAGAGGUAACUGGAAUUCCUGGUGUAGCGGUGAAAUGCGUAGAUAUCAGGAGGAACACCGGUGGCGAAGGCGGGUUACUGGACGAUUACUGACGCUGAGACACGAAAGCGUGGGGAGCAAACAGG
This 405-nucleotide ribosomal RNA is filed under the name uncultured prokaryote. Its description in RNAcentral is "bacterial SSU rRNA". It matches the Rfam family "Bacterial small subunit ribosomal RNA", at positions 355 to 776 of the family's 1533-position model. RNAcentral also lists the same sequence under 1 other name. The record is from RNAcentral.